ACUUAUAUAGUUUAAAUUUAGAAUAAUAAUUUGUGGUAUUAUUGGUGAAUGUUAAUAAUUUCUUUAAGUC
Molecule: transfer RNA, 70 nt
Filed under: Hippotiscus dorsalis
Lineage: Eukaryota; Metazoa; Arthropoda; Insecta; Hemiptera; Pentatomidae
Description: tRNA-His
Source: RNAcentral